Molecule: ribosomal RNA, 773 nt
Filed under: uncultured bacterium
Lineage: Bacteria
Description: bacterial SSU rRNA
Rfam family: Bacterial small subunit ribosomal RNA
Source: RNAcentral
AGAGUUUGAUCAUGGCUCAGGACGAACGCUGGCGGCGUGCUUAACACAUGCAAGUCGAACGGAAAGGCCCUUCGGGGUACUCGAGUGGCGAACGGGUGAGUAACACGUGGGUGAUCUGCCCUGCACUUUGGGAUAAGCCUGGGAAACUGGGUCUAAUACCGAAUAUGACCAUGCACUUCCUGGUGUGUGGUGGAAAGCUUUUGCGGUGUGGGAUGGGCCCGCGGCCUAUCAGCUUGUUGGUGGGGUAAUGGCCUACCAAGGCGACGACGGGUAGCCGGCCUGAGAGGGUGACCGGCCACACUGGGACUGAGAUACGGCCCAGACUCCUACGGGAGGCAGCAGUGGGGAAUAUUGCACAAUGGGCGCAAGCCUGAUGCAGCGACGCCGCGUGAGGGAUGACGGCCUUCGGGUUGUAAACCUCUUUCAGCACAGACGAAGCGCAAGUGACGGUAUGUGCAGAAGAAGGACCGGCCAACUACGUGCCAGCAGCCGCGGUAAUACGUAGGGUCCGAGCGUUGUCCGGAAUUACUGGGCGUAAAGAGCUCGUAGGUGGUUUGUCGCGUUGUUCGUGAAAACUCACAGCUUAACUGUGGGCGUGCGGGCGAUACGGGCAGACUUGAGUACUGCAGGGGAGACUGGAAUUCCUGGUGUAGCGGUGGAAUGCGCAGAUAUCAGGAGGAACACCGGUGGCGAAGGCGGGUCUCUGGGCAGUAACUGACGCUGAGGAGCGAAAGCGUGGGGAGCGAACAGGAUUAGAUACCCCGGUAGUCCAA